This 204-nucleotide long non-coding RNA is filed under the name Lathyrus oleraceus (garden pea). RNAcentral describes it as "Pisum sativum (pea) long non-coding RNA (PSAT_LNC013589)". The record is from RNAcentral. Lineage: Eukaryota; Viridiplantae; Streptophyta; Magnoliopsida; Fabales; Fabaceae.
UCUUUUUGCAUGUCUCUGAAUCUUUUGAUAUAUGAGAGAUGAGCUUUAAGUUUUAUUUCAUCCUUUGUGAGAUUUCUUUCAAGAAAUAUUUACACAAAUAAAAUCACUUCCAAAUAAUUCUUUGGACAACAUAUCAUAUUUAUUUAAAGAAUCUUAUGAUUUAUUCUUUGCACACAUUUUCUUGAUUUGAAAUUUUGGUCUCUG